AGAGUUUGAUCCUGGCUCAGAACGAACGCUGGCGGCAGGCCUAACACAUGCAAGUCGAACGCCCCGCAAGGGGAGUGGCAGACGGGUGAGUAACGCGUGGGAAUAUCCCCCUUAGUACGGAAUAGCCCAGGGAAACUUGGAGUAAUACCGUAUACGCCCGUAAGGAGAAAGAUUUAUCGCUGAGGGAUUAGCCCGCGUAGGAUUAGCUAGUUGGUGAGGUAAUGGCUCACCAAGGCUACGAUCCUUAGCUGGUCUGAGAGGAUGAUCAGCCGCAUUGGGACUGAGACACGGCCCAAACUCCUACGGGAGGCAGCAGUGGGGAAUAUUGGACAAUGGGCGCAAGCCUGAUCCAGCCAUGCCGCGUGAGUGAUGAAGGCCUUAGGGUUGUAAAGCUCUUUUGUCCGGGACGAUAAUGACGGUACCGGAAGAAUAAGCCCCGGCUAACUUCGUGCCAGCAGCCGCGGUAAUACGAAGGGGGCUAGCGUUGCUCGGAAUCACUGGGCGUAAAGGGCGCGUAGGCGGCCAUUCAAGUCGGGGGUGAAAGCCUGUGGCUCAACUACAGAAUUGCCUUCGAUACUGUUUGGCUUGAGACCGGAAGAGGUUAGUGGAACUGCGAGUGUAGAGGUGAAAUUCGUAGAUAUUCGCAAGAACACCAGUGGCGAAAGCGGCUAACUGGUCCGGUUCUGACGCUGAGGCGCGAAAGCGUGGGGAGCAAACAGGAUUAGAUACCCUGGUAGUCU
RNAcentral lists this ribosomal RNA (740 nucleotides) under uncultured bacterium. RNAcentral's name for it is "bacterial SSU rRNA". It matches the Rfam family "Bacterial small subunit ribosomal RNA", at positions 8 to 796 of the family's 1533-position model. The record is from RNAcentral.